Molecule: ribosomal RNA, 486 nt
Filed under: uncultured bacterium
Lineage: Bacteria
Description: partial 16S ribosomal RNA
Rfam family: Bacterial small subunit ribosomal RNA
Source: RNAcentral
AUUGAACGCUGGCGGCAUGCCUUACACAUGCAAGUCGAACGGCAGCACGGGUGCUUGCACCUGGUGGCGAGUGGCGAACGGGUGAGUAAUACAUCGGAACAUGUCCUGUAGCGGGGGAUAGCCCGGCGAAAGCCGGAUUAAUACCGCAUACGAUCUACGGAUGAAAGCGGGGGACCUUCGGGCCUCGCGCUAUAGGGUUGGCCGAUGGCUGAUUAGCUAGUUGGUGGGGUAAAGGCCUACCAAGGCGACGAUCAGUAGCUGGUCUGAGAGGACGACCAGCCACACUGGGACUGAGACACGGCCCAGACUCCUACGGGAGGCAGCAGUGGGGAAUUUUGGACAAUGGGCGAAAGCCCGAUCCAGCAAUGCCGCGUGUGUGAAGAAGGCCUUCGGGUUGUAAAGCACUUUUGUCCGGAAAGAAAUCCUUGGCCCUAAUACGGUCGGGGGAUGACGGUACCGGAAGAAUAAGCACCGGCUAACUACGUG